This 468-nucleotide ribosomal RNA is filed under the name uncultured bacterium. RNAcentral describes it as "partial 16S ribosomal RNA". It matches the Rfam family "Bacterial small subunit ribosomal RNA", at positions 28 to 507 of the family's 1533-position model. The record is from RNAcentral.
GACGAACGCUGGCGGCGUGCUUAACACAUGCAAGUCGAACGGAAAGGCCCUGCUUGCCGGGUGCUCGAGUGGCGAACGGGUGAGUAACGCGUGGGUGAUCUGCCCCUUACUUUGGGAUAAGCCUGGGAAACUGGGUCUAAUACUGGAUAGGACCAUGCUGUAGGUGGUGUGGUGGAAAGAUUAGUUUCGGUAAGGGAUGAGCUCGCGGCCUAUCAGCUUGUUGGUGGGGUAAUGGCCUACCAAGGCGUCGACGGGUAGCCGGCCUGAGAGGGUGGACGGCCACAUUGGGACUGAGAUACGGCCCAGACUCCUACGGGAGGCAGCAGUGGGGAAUAUUGCACAAUGGGCGCAAGCCUGAUGCAGCGACGCCGCGUGGGGGAUGACGGCCUUCGGGUUGUAAACUCCUUUCAGCCAUGACGAAGCCUUCGGGUGACGGUAGUGGUAGAAGAAGCACCGGCUAACUACGUG